This 3721-nucleotide long non-coding RNA is filed under the name Sus scrofa (pig). RNAcentral describes it as "lncRNA (ENSSSCG00000060911.1)". The record is from RNAcentral. Lineage: Eukaryota; Metazoa; Chordata; Mammalia; Artiodactyla; Suidae.
CACCCAGACCGCCAGUGGCAUCCCGUUGAGAAACAGUGAUAUGGAAAUAGCUUGUCUUUUUCUCAUUUCUUCAUAUAAUUAAAAACUGUGAUUAUACCAUGAAUGAGUCUUUCCUCCCCUCUGGUCAGUGUCUUUUUACGUAUAAUGUGUCUGUGCACCUGUAAGAGCCUGACACACAUUAUUAGAAUUGCUGAGUCAAGAGGGGAUGUGUGUUCAAAAUUUAGUUAUAUGCUCCCAGUCGCUCUCCCAAACUGCUGUACAAAAUUACAGUCCUAAUAACAGCACACAUGUUCUCUUGCAUCCUUUUCAACUGGAGAUAUUAUCAGUUAAAAUGUCAUGCCUACAUAAUGAGAAAAAGUAAAAUCAUGUUUAAGUUUCCAUUUUCCUGUCCAAGCUUCUGUUACAGAGUCCUUUCAAUGUGGUAACAAACAUCAGGUUUGCUUUUCCAGAAGUGAGGUUGCUGCUCACCUGCUCUGGAUAUCUUGUUGCUUAUCUCAUUCAUGUUUCAGAAAUGGGCCUAUUCACUAGUCGGUUACCUCUUUGGAGUGUCUUUUUUUGUCUCAUCUGCUGGCAGUGUCAUACCAAUACUGUGAUUUUUAUGAAGAAUUAUAAAUUGGUAUUUGAAUAGAAGGAGCUGUGUUUUUCAAAUUAGUGCCCAAUUAGUGGGUUGGUAAAACCAAAUUAGGGCUCAUGAGCAGUAUAAAAAAAGAGUAGAAAACAUUAGAGUGUCUCAUAUAUAGGAAAGGUAAGACAUGCUUCUUAAAGCUUCUUGAACAUGUAUUUUUAGUGUGUGUUUUGAAUAUGUUUGUGUUUAAUAUCGCUGUGAGUUGAGCAUUUCUGGUAUGGAGAAUCUCAGCUUUAAAAAUUUAUUCGAAACAGUUUCUUUCUUUCCUGACUGAGGAAGAAGUUUCAUAUUUUCUUUGUGGCAUUAAAGACAUAAAUUUCCAAUAGUACCAAUACUUUGCUAAAAGUUAAGGACCAAGGCUCUUAGAGGGGCUUAAAGGCUUAAAGAUAAAUGUCACUUAAUUGGACAUGGAGAUAUAAUGGGUGUGGAAAGCCAAAUUGGCUUGGGUGCAGGUGAAGAAAUGAUGGGUUACACCCUACUAAACUUAGUUUCACUGAGCAGUAUAAUUUAUCAGUGUUCCAGUGUAGUGGCUGCCCUUGACUGCAGGAGCUGCUUUGCUACAUAGGCAAGAAAAUGCAGAGGAAAUCUUGACGCUCAAUAGUCUUGUCCUUGAAUCAGUACACGUGUAGCCAAGGGUGGUGACUUGAACAGAUUUUGACUGUUUAGCUUACUUCAAUUUCAAUGCUGAUCUUAUGUUGCUUAGAAAAUUACUUGUUAGUGAUUAUAAUAAAUGAUGGUAAUUAAAAUUAAAAAAAAAAAAGCAAUGGAACAUUUCUGCAUGUGGGUGUAUUUAAUUACCUGGCAGGUGUUCCUAUUUCUAAGGCGUGAGACUUAUGGGUAAACAAUGGCCUUUCUGUUAGAAACUCUGCCCACACUUUCGUGUUUCUUUCCUUUUAUAAUUGGGUAUUUUCCAUCCUUUGGAGAAUGAUGAUGAUGAUGACUCUUUUUAUUUUUUGUCUUUUGUCUUUUUUUUAGGGCCAUGCCCAUGGCAUAUGGAAGUUCCCAGGCUAGCGGUCACAUUGGAGCUGUUGCUGCCAGCCUACACCAGAGCCACAGCAGCACCAGAUCCGAGCCUCGUCUGCAACCUACACCUUAGCUCACGGUAACGCUGGAUCCUUAAGCCACUGAGUGAGGCUAGGGAUUGAACCUGCCUCAUGGUUCAAUCCCUUGAACCAUGGUUCCCCGUCGGAUUCAUUUCCACUGCGUCACGAGGGGAACCCCUGAUGAUCACUCUUUUGUGCUGUGCUGUAUGUUUCCUAAGUGCUUCUAUCUUUCAUUUACUUUGCCUCAACCAGUUCUGACAGUUCUGAUGUUUUUACUUGAACUAUUCUUAUUCAGUAAUUGCAUCCUUAUAAAAAAUGAUUAAUGGAAACUUAUAAUCUUACUUUCUGGAUUCGUAAACAGUGACGUUAGAAAACUGCGUGUUUAAAGUUCUGGGAUAUAGUCAUAUAUUAACUACUGUCAAAUUUUAUGAGGUAUUGCUAAUACAUUUUUGGCAAAUAAUAAACAUUAGAUAAUAAAUCUUGUUUCACACACCAAAGAAGAUGGAAGUGAAUGUUCUUUAACGACUAUCGACCACCACAUGACUAUCACUGGGUACUACUCUUCUGUCUUGUUAAUAUGAAGCGUGAAGAGGUGGUGAUGACAUUGAGUAUACUUAUUGUGUAACUUUAAAUUUGGUUAAAACCUUUUAACACCCCCAGAAAAAUUUUAAAUGAUUUUAUACAUAUUCUUAUUCACUCUAAUCCUGUCUAUGGGAUGACAUCCUAGGAGCAAAGCAUGAGUUUCUCUGUCCAUCUCAGUUUUUGCUCAGUGGCCCCAAGGCAUCUGAUACCUACUGUGAUUGUGGAUCAGCAUCUCCUACUGACUUAACAGGAAGUUUGCUUAUGUUAAGUACUUUGUCAGUGGUGAAUAUAAUGACAGAGAUUCCUGUCAAGCAUUUAUGGGACUUUGUUAGAAGAUUCUUGAGAUGAAUUUACAGUUAUUUUACAGAACCAUGGUAUUGCUCUUUCUCCUCCUUGAAAAUCCAUUCGCGUUUCAUCUAAAGAAGCUGCAGCAUCCAGAAAGAGAAGACAAGGUUUAGGUGAUGUGAGUGUUAAUGUUUUAUUGUUUCUACUUUAGCGCUUCUAUUUUGUUAACUUGGUGUCAUAAUUUAAAAUGAUGUAAAUGCUAAUUCGACCAUUUGGCUUGAUGAAAGGAUCUUGCAUAUUGCAGAAAUAAAGUCAUUUUAGUAGAUGUUUAGAAAUAAAAAGGAAAACUAAUGUCAUAACAUAUUAUGCUCCAUAUGUUCAAUUUGGGAAAACAUCUUUUGUGAGUUUCUUCAAAUAGUAUUAUUUGUGCUAUUCAAUGACUUAACUUUUUCUCUUCUUUUUCUAAGAUGGCCUCCCAAAUUUAAAUAAUAAAAAGACCAGUCGACCUUCAGAAAAAAACUAAGGAAAUGCCAAUAAAUGUCAGUUUUAAUUUAUAUGAUUUUUUUCUUUGAAAAUAUUAAAUAUGACAUUAAGUUGGUAGGCAUGUGUAGUUAAGGCUUACAAACAAGUUUUGUGGAAUGCUAUCAAAAUAUGAGGCAAUCCAAAGCAAUUAACAAAUAAACCUAACUUGUUCUUAUCAAGCAAGACCCACCCAAAACCUCUCAGAAUUCUGUGGUUUCUUCCAGUGGCCUUAUGGAAGGAAAUAAAGAUCUAUAUCAUAUAUAAGUCUCAUUAAUGGAAGAUCCAUAGAGUUUCAAUGGCUUCAUUGAUUUGAGGAAGUAAAGCUGCUGCAUAAAAAUGGCCUGUAGAACGAGGGUAUUCCCUAGUCCCUUUCCAGUGAGGGCCCAGAAGAAACUUAACAGAACCCACGCCAGGCUGUAGUGGUCUGUGUGGAGCUUGGGAUGUAGAGGUUGAGCCACUGCCUGCUAUUGUCUGUGUAAUGACCCUGCUUGUUAGCCUGACCAUCAUCCUGAUUCCUGGUGAGGGUGUAGUGUAUACACUCCUGUAAUGACCUUGUGUGUCAUUCUCUUUGUUCAUCUUCUCGAGGAUUAUGUAAUACGUAAUACGCAGUGGCUGACAAAGCUUCUAUAGGCAACUCCUUAUUUUCCAAUAAGCUAGUUUAACG